GCGGGUGUAGCUCAGUUGGUAGAGCAUCAGCUUCCCAAGCUGAGGGUCGCGGGUUCGAAGCCCGUCGCCCGCUCCA
This 76-nucleotide transfer RNA is filed under the name Fervidobacterium nodosum. Its description in RNAcentral is "tRNA-Gly". It matches the Rfam family "tRNA". Rfam says of the family: Transfer RNA (tRNA) molecules are approximately 80 nucleotides in length. RNAcentral also lists the same sequence under 5 other names. The record is from RNAcentral. Lineage: Bacteria; Thermotogati; Thermotogota; Thermotogae; Thermotogales; Fervidobacteriaceae.